AGAGUCACUCCUACGGGAGGCAGCAGUGGGGAAUUUUGCGCAAUGGGGGAAACCCUGACGCAGCAACGCCGCGUGGAGGAUGAAGGUCUUCGGAUUGUAAACUCCUGUUGCCCGGGACGAAAUGCUUCGACCUAACACGUCGAAGUUUGACGGUACCGGGUGAGGAAGCCCCGGCUAACUCUGUGCCAGCAGCCGCGGUAAUACAGAGGGGGCAAGCGUUGUUCGGAAUUACUGGGCGUAAAGGGCGCGUAGGCGGCCUUCUAAGUCGAACGUGAAAUCCCCGGGCUCAACCCGGGAACUGCGUCCGAUACUGGAAGGCUUGAAUCCGGGAGAGGGAUGCGGAAUUCCAGGUGUAGCGGUGAAAUGCGUAGAUAUCGCUUGGAACGCCGAAGGUGAAAACAGGCUGCUGGGGUUGCGCCGACGCUGAGACACGAAAGCCAGGGGAGCAAACGGGAUUAGAUACCCUGGUAGUCCACGCCCUAAACGAUGACGACUAGUUGUUGGAGGAGUUAAAUCCUUUAGUAACGCAGCUAACGCGCGAAGUCGUCCGCCUGGGGAGUACGGUCGCAAGAUUAAAACUUAAAGGAAUUGACG
RNAcentral lists this ribosomal RNA (594 nucleotides) under uncultured Acidobacteriota bacterium. Its description in RNAcentral is "bacterial SSU rRNA". It matches the Rfam family "Bacterial small subunit ribosomal RNA", at positions 329 to 915 of the family's 1533-position model. Lineage: Bacteria; Pseudomonadati; Acidobacteriota. The record is from RNAcentral.